GUAGCCAUUCAAAUAGCUUAAAGUCUUCUACCACAGAUGGAAAAACUCAAACUUCUCUACGAUUGAGUAGUCAUCAAGUCAGUCUUUUGCUUUCAUCACUAUGGGUUCAAGCAACAUCUGCUGAGAAUAUGCCUGCAAAUUUUGAGGCCAUGGCACAUUCUUAUAACAUUGCUUUGCUCUAUACUCGGUCUAAGACGUCCAAUCACAUGGCCCUAGCUCGGUGUUUUCAGCUGGCAUUCUC
RNAcentral lists this unclassified non-coding RNA (241 nucleotides) under Hevea brasiliensis (rubber tree). The record is from RNAcentral. Lineage: Eukaryota; Viridiplantae; Streptophyta; Magnoliopsida; Malpighiales; Euphorbiaceae.